Nicotiana tabacum (common tobacco) is the source of this 2298-nucleotide long non-coding RNA. RefSeq lists it as uncharacterized. Lineage: Eukaryota; Viridiplantae; Streptophyta; Magnoliopsida; Solanales; Solanaceae. The record is from RefSeq and is a predicted model, not a curated record.
CAACUGUCUAACACUUUCAGUUCUAUUUUGAUAUCAUCCCUGUUUCUUGGUUCUUUAAUCUGAAAGUGCAUUUUUGCUCUGUAAAUUUCUCAGAUUUUUCAUUUGCUCUUUCUUUUCACCUCUUCGGCUCUUCUGUGCCUGUGAUUUGCGGGCACCGCCUCUUGGAGAUGAGACAUUUCAUGGAGCAGUGGUGAUUGGUGUGAGUUGGAAUUAAUUAAUUAGCAUGAACUUAAUUAAGAGUCGCAGAUAUAUACGUUUUCUUUUAAUUUUUAUGCAGCUACCAGUGUGUUACUCAUUGUAUGCUAUAUUUUUGUCAUUGACCAUCUUUUAUUUGGGAUUUACUGUUCCCAAUUAAUAUGUGCCCCAUUUUCAGACUUACCCCAGAUGUCCCUCUAGAUGAAACUGAAAUUCUGAGAAAGGAUGGUACUAAGCAUAAGAUUGAUUGGUUAGUUUUUUUUUUGACUAGAUAUCUAUGUUAAUUCCUAAUUCACCUGAAAUAUCAAAAAGUUAUGGUACAUGAUAGUAUCUUCUCAUUUGUUCAAGUAACAGCAAAUCUUCAGCUUUCUCUUUAGACAAAUAAAAUAUGUAUGUGGUGAUGAAUGCAACAAUUGGACAAGCAGAAAAGAAGAGGAAAACAAAACAAAUGCAUUCCUAAGGCAAGCACAAGUACACGUUUACUAAUUUGUGCAAAUCAAAGCAAUCUUCUUGAUUUAUAUUAAUGUUCAUUAAUUGUAUUUAGUUAUUUUAUCUUUUAAAUUUGAUAAAUACUAUUUGAACGGAUGUCCUCAGCAGUUGAACCCAAUCAAGUACAAGUUCAAAUAUUAGCAUAUUGAAUGCUAACUUUUUGCCAUCUCAAUUCAACUCUGAUUUUAUUGCAGACCUGGAAGUAAAGCAAUUUGUGCAUAUAUAAUUACCAUUUUUCUUCUUUUAGAUGAUUUAUAUUUAGUUAUUCACUCCCCUGUUAUUUAUUUCCUAGAAAUUACACACUCAUGAUUCAAGGAUAAUAAAUGAUGAUUUCUUGUGGAAAGCUUUUGCUGAUUUUUUUUUUUUUUUUUCAUGCACCUUAUAAGUAGUAGUGACAAUGAUGUCUGUGCAAGGUGAUGCACCUAAUUGCCACAUAAUUUUAUUUCACUCAAUAUUUUAUAUUUAAUCAAAGUUGCAGAGUACUGUAUCUUUUUCUUUGCUGGUAUUAUAUUGAAUUACUCUUUUGACUUUGUAACUGGUUGAGAUAAACUGUUGUUUGGGGAUUAACAUGGUAGUGCAUACGACCAAACCAUUUUAUGGGGGAAUUCACAUUAAGAUGCAAAAAAUUAAAGGUCUUGAUAAAUUUUAAGGGAGCUGUGGUUGAUGAUCAGGUAGUUAUUAUCUAGAGGUAUCUAUGACAUGAAGCAUUAGGCUAUUCAAGAAAAGGUUUAUUACUGUCUCGACCCAUGGUUGAUAUUUGAUACACACAUGUGAUGGUUAUUCUGACUCUGAAUGAGAUACUGGCUCCGGCUAUGGCUGUUUAACUCAUGCAUAAUAACAUCACAAAGCUCAUGGUCUCAAGGUUAUUGUUUUCAAUCAUAUGUUUGAAAACUUUUGCUUGACAUGAAUCGAAUUAUUUUAAUAAAUAUUUUUUUCCCCUUAUUUUUAUUUUGUCUUUUAGAGUGCUACUAUAUUGGCACUUCUUUUAGAGAGUUUCCAUAGUCUUAUAUUUAAUCGAAGGCUUGGGAUAUUUAUAGUUUUUAUCGUAUUUUGGAUCAAUGAUAAAGAAAAGAUUUAUUUUAUGCAGGCAUGAAUUAAUAAGAUCUUGGUGGCGCUCCUCUUAGUUUUCGUUAUACAACUUUCAGAGAAAACCAAUUUACAUGCUUUUCGAUGUUAAUCAAACACAUCAUAUUUUUUUAUUAUCUCCUUGCUCUUUAUCCUCUUCUUGGUUGCAAUGUGGAAUUACAUGAAGCAGUGAAGAGCAACACGAUCAAAAGAAACUCCGAAGAGAAGCCUGCUACUAAACCACGAACGAAAAAAUCUAUUCAAUCAGCAUACAGGUUAUAUCAAUAGAGGAAAAGAAGAGAUUCCUGAGUUUUUGUCAAUAGAGAAAAAGAAGAGGUUUCUGACCUUUUUGACGAUCAAGGUGUUCUAAACUGGUGUCAAUUGGUGCUGACAUCUUUACUCUAGCUAAUAAAGGAAGAGUAUUUUACUAAUUGUUAUUACUAAUCGUUAGUUUUAGUAUUUUUAAUUCUUCUUUAUAAUUUUGUAUGAACGAGCGCACAAAGGAAUUGAGAUUUAAGUGCAACAAAGGAAAAUUUGGCCUUGCUAAUA